Long non-coding RNA from Astatotilapia calliptera (eastern happy), 1658 nucleotides. The record is from Ensembl. Lineage: Eukaryota; Metazoa; Chordata; Actinopteri; Cichliformes; Cichlidae.
UCAAGAGGUACAGCAGGUAAGGCACAACAGAUGAGGACAAAGUAGUAAGCUAUGGCUCUAAUGAGGGAAUGUUGAACAGAUGAGCAGUCCUCACUAAGACAUGAAAACAAGUUUGUGUGUGUGCGUUCGUGUGUAAAGUUGUGUGAUUGUAAAAGGCUAUCUGAGCUACCCCUGGCCCACUUCAGUGUCUAUUUACUCUUAUAGUGAAAAUAAAGUAUGCCUUGUGUCACUGCAAAUGUUUUUAUAUAUCAGGACUUAAUAAAAAAUGAUUAGUUGCUUCCACUUCUUGAAAUUAGAUAAAUUUAUAAUUUAAAACAAAACCUAAGCCAAAGUACAGACACAGUGUUAAAAAACUAAGUGCAUCACAUGAUUUGAUGGUUUACAGAAACACUGUCAGCAGCAACAAUCUUUUUCCGUAUCACUCUGUCACUUUUGUGGAAAAAUCUUGGCCCACCCUUAUUUCUUUCUGUCUUUUGCAGUUUCUUUCAGUGUUGGGCAAUCUGAAUUUUGGGGGAAGACUGGCGACUGUCAUGAAUGUUUUCCACAGGAAUAAUGGAUUUAAAAUUGUUUGGAAAUGGCCUGAAAACCUUUCCUAGAUUACAGCAAAAUUUUCUGGCAUAACUUCAUCUACUUCCAAGUAGGUAGGAGGUGCGUGGAGAGGAUGAAAAAAUCACAACGCUGGAACUACAGCAACGCUUAAAGGGAAGAGGAACAACUUUAUUCACCUUUCCCAGAUUGAAAGGUAGCAACAGUUACUUCCCUAAGACCUUUCCUGAUGUCGUUCCACCUCUGAACUGUGUUGAAAUCAGAGUUAUUAUAGUUAUUAUAGUUAUUAUACAUUUUCCAAUUAGUUAUUAUUUGUAUUUCAAUUUGCCUUUUUGUUUUUAAUUCAGUUUUAGUUUCAGGUUUUUUUUUUCCGAGUGGAUUUUCUUAUUUUUCGGCUGACUUUUUAUUAUUCAAAAUGUUACUUUUAGUUUAGUUUUUAAUAGUUUCUGUGUUAGUUUUAGUCUUUUAGGUAUGGAGGGAAUAUGUCAGAGGAAAAAAAGUAUGAAAAUCUGUACAGUUAUUACAAUAGCAUUACUGCACUUUUUGAAAGCAGUUGACUCACAUCCACAGUCUCAAUACAGACGUCAAUCAAUGCAUCAUUGGGAAAGUUGUAACAAACUUUUUACAGACGCUAAAACUAAGGAUAAUUUCUCUAUACUUUUAUUGUAGUUUUCCAAGUACACAUAGUAGCCUUUUUUUUCCAAAAUCCUAGUUUUUAUUUGUAAUUUAUUUAACGAAAAUGCAUUCUUGCAUUCUAGUUCUUUUUAGGUAAAUAAUGGCACAGUGUAAUAGAACGUCAUGUGUUAUAGAUGAGCUCCGAAUGGUCUUUGAAGCUUAAACUAAUUUAAGCAGGAAACACUGAUCCUGAAUUAGCAAAAGUUUACCCUGAUUUUUUUCAUCACCUAGCAUCAACUUCCAAUCAACAAACACUUAUAUGUUUAUUGAUUAAAGCAGAAAAUAUUUCUAUAUUUCCUGCUUUAAUCAGGUUAAGAUUCAAAGACCAUUCCGAGCUGAUCUCAAGCUCUCGCACAUCAUCUCCCAUGUUGAUCGACAGCUCUGUUGGAUAAUUUCACUAUAAAAAGCCGUUUUCAUUCUCAUGUGUCAGUUCUCAG